This 375-nucleotide ribosomal RNA is filed under the name uncultured organism. RNAcentral describes it as "partial 16S ribosomal RNA". It matches the Rfam family "Bacterial small subunit ribosomal RNA", at positions 527 to 896 of the family's 1533-position model. The record is from RNAcentral.
GGAGGGUGCAAGCGUUGUUCGGAUUCAUUGGGCGUAAAGGGGGGUCUAGGCGGCAUGGGUAAGUCGGAUGUGAAAUCCCACGGGCUCACCCGUGGAACUGCGUUCGAAACUGCCUCGCUUGAGUACGGAAGAGGAGAGCGGAAUUCUCAGUGUAGCGGUGGAAUGCGUAGAUAUUGAGAAGAACACCGGUGGCGAAGGCGGCUCUCUGGUCCGAUACUGACGCUGAAGCCCGAAAGCCAGGGGAGCGAACGGGAUUAGAUACCCCGGUAGUCCUGGCCCUAAACGAUGUGCACUGGGUGUUGGAGGUAUCGACCCCUCCAGUGCCGAAGCUAACGCAUUAAGUGCACCGCCUGGGGAGUACGGUCGCAAAGGCUG